CGAGUGUCUGUGAUGAGACUCCACUGAUUGCUGCAUUGCACUGAUUGGGCUGUGUGGAAACCAACCUUGGAGAGCUGAGCACUCG
Molecule: small nucleolar RNA, 85 nt
Filed under: Pelusios castaneus (West African mud turtle)
Lineage: Eukaryota; Metazoa; Chordata; Testudines; Pelomedusidae
Source: RNAcentral